GACGAACGCUGGCGGCGUGCUUAACACAUGCAAGUCGAGGGCAUCUGGGUAGCAAUACACAGGUGACCGGCGAACGGGUGCGUAACACGUGGGUGACCUGCCCUUAGCUCUGGGAUAAGCCUGGGAAACUGGGUCUAAUACCGGAUAUGACUCCAUGACGCAUGUUGUGGGNGGAAAGCCUUGUGCGGCUAGGGAUGGGCCCGCGGCCUAUCAGCUUGUUGGUGGG
RNAcentral lists this ribosomal RNA (226 nucleotides) under uncultured bacterium. Its description in RNAcentral is "partial 16S ribosomal RNA". It matches the Rfam family "Bacterial small subunit ribosomal RNA", at positions 28 to 256 of the family's 1533-position model. The record is from RNAcentral.